Molecule: ribosomal RNA, 253 nt
Filed under: uncultured bacterium
Lineage: Bacteria
Description: partial 16S ribosomal RNA
Rfam family: Bacterial small subunit ribosomal RNA
Source: RNAcentral
UACGUAGGGUGCAAGCGUUAAUCGGAAUUACUGGGCGUAAAGCGUGCGCAGGCGGAUUUGUAAGUCUGUCGUGAAAUCCCCGGGCUCAACCUGGGAAUUGCGAUGGAGACUGCAAGGCUGGAGUCUGGCAGAGGGGGGUAGAAUUCCACGUGUAGCAGUGAAAUGCGUAGAGAUGUGGAGGAACACCGAUGGCGAAGGCAGCCCCCUGGGUCAAGACUGACGCUCAUGCACGAAAGCGUGGGGAGCAAACAGG